UACAGAGGUGGCAAGCGUUGUUCGGAAUUACUGGGCGUAAAGGGCGCGUAGGCGGCCCGUCAAGUCCCGUGUGAAAGCCCCCGGCUCAACCGGGGAACGGCGCGGGAAACUAGCAGGCUUGAGUUCGGGAGAGGGAAGCGGAAUUCCGGGUGUAGCGGUGAAAUGCGCAGAUAUCCGGAGGAACACCGGUGGCGAAGGCGGGUCUCUGGGCCGAUACUGACGCCGAGGAGCGAAAGCGUGGGGAGCGAACAGG
Molecule: ribosomal RNA, 253 nt
Filed under: uncultured bacterium
Lineage: Bacteria
Description: partial 16S ribosomal RNA
Rfam family: Bacterial small subunit ribosomal RNA
Source: RNAcentral